GAGGUCUAUGGUCAACCAGCUGGUGCCGUUUUUUUCGUAAAGAAUUGGUAAAGAAGAAUGAAUGGAAGUGAGUGAAUGAAAUCGUCAUUCGAACAAAAAAAAUACAUGUUUUUCUUAUAAUUUCGUACGAAGGAAUACAAAAUCAUAAUUUAUGUGUGUUUUGGCAGCAAAUACAAUAAAUAAAUGCAAUAAAACAUUUUUCUAUGAAUUUUAAAACAUACAUCUGGCAUUAUUCUAAACCAUAAAAACACAACGUCAAGAUCAUACUUAAAAAAAAAACGUGUAGAGAUUAGGUAUCGUUAGGUUUUCAAAUCAAAAAUACUUAAUAAAACACAAAAAUGACUAAAUAAAAGGACGUCGAUGAAGAGGAAGACCAAGGCGGAACUAGUAAAAGUGGAAGUUGUGUUGUAUCAGAACGACGGAACUCGCUGUGAAUGCAUAUUAACAGUCCUCAACCAACAAGACUCCUAUCUUCUUCUUUGUCGUUCCCACACUGCUGAGGAUCGCGACCACAGGUUAUGGUUUUCCACUUGGUACGGCUAUAUGCUGCGUGCACCGCCCUCUGUAUGCUGCCGUCCACCGUCUUCUUCACGAUGUCAGACCACCUCGUAGGCGCCCUUCCUCGCGCACGUUUGCUAUCCAUUUGCCCAACGAUGAUCUGCUUCUCCAGACUGUGCUUCGGAGACCGCAUAAUAUGUCCGAAGAAGCUUAGGGCACGAUUCCGGCAUAUUGAGGAGAGCCGCGUCGUGAUCUUGAGCUCUUUUAAUAUGGACUCAUUCGUACACGUAAAUAGCCUUAAAUUACCAAGUAGAGAAAGUCCACCAUGAGGUGAGCACGAAGUUUUGAAGACAGGAGUGAUUGUAUUAGAUUUCCUCCUGAGCAGUUGCACUACAAAUUUAGUGAUGAAGAGGUGAGUGAUCGAAAAAAUAUGUCAUAGAAGAACUUGUAGACAUCAUAUUAAUCUGAGUUACUUGUAUUAAUCAGAUUUUUUACUAAUUUUCAGGCAAUACUUGACAGAAACCUUAAGUUGGAUGACAUAAUUAUAAAGAAAAUCAAUAAGAGGAUGAACUCUUUUAAUGUUUAUAAAACAAUAGUAUGGAAGAAUUUUGAUGCAUCUUGGAGCAAUGGCAACAUAUUUGGGAGUUGAGAGUGACAACGAGCAGAUUACAUAACAAUGGGAGGAUAACAAGGGCCUUAACUGAAAAAACUGGUGAAUGUUCCCAAAUAAACCUCACAGAUGUAGAAGAAAGACAAAAUAAAUUUGUUUAUUUAUUUUAUUUCUGUUCCCUACUAAACUAGUAAUAAAACAUACUUGUUACAAAUA
Molecule: long non-coding RNA, 1324 nt
Filed under: Pectinophora gossypiella (pink bollworm)
Lineage: Eukaryota; Metazoa; Arthropoda; Insecta; Lepidoptera; Gelechiidae
Description: uncharacterized LOC126381537
Source: RNAcentral